This 660-nucleotide long non-coding RNA is filed under the name Mytilus galloprovincialis (Mediterranean mussel). The record is from RNAcentral. Lineage: Eukaryota; Metazoa; Mollusca; Bivalvia; Mytilida; Mytilidae.
UGAAAUGUCAUUAAAUAACGGCAUUUGGUUUCAAAAUAAAAGUUUUAUUGGAGAUCAUGACAAAAUCGGACAGUAACUUGUAUCUUUUACAAGAUUUGAAUUUGUUAUACUCAGUCUAAGACAUGUAGUUUCGGAGCACAUUUUACUGAGUACGGUUUAUCUGUUUGGAAUGAGAUGUACCAAUCGGCAUUAGAUUUAUCAGAUCCCGAGGCGAUGUGUUCGACAGACAACAAGACCCAAUCAACCUGCAAACACGCCAAAACAGUAUUGGAAAGUCUCAUUAUAUUUUGCGUUCAUAGACCAUAUGAUAAUGAAACUGGAGAGUGGAGUCGCGUCUGGUAUUAUUAGAAAAUCGCUUCUUUGCGCCGUAUCUGCUUCCUUGUGUUGUUGGAAAUAUAACAAACGAAGAAAUCUCUGAGACAUACGAAACUGACCUGGCAUGUAAUUUUGACGAAUUCAAUUGGGAGGUCGCUCGAUGGCGAACACGUACGCUGAUUUAUAACACCUCGCGAGUGCUACCGUGGAGAUAUAUCAAGGUACUACGUCUGUUGGAAACUUGCAAAUGUACGAUCAACAAUGAACAACGACAGGUUAUCAUCGCUAGCAUUACUGCAUAUUCAUCGGGAAUUCAGUGUUAGUAUUGACAAAGUAAUAGAGAAG